This is a long non-coding RNA of Mastomys coucha (southern multimammate mouse), 214 nucleotides long. RefSeq lists it as uncharacterized. The transcript is spliced from 3 exons. Lineage: Eukaryota; Metazoa; Chordata; Mammalia; Rodentia; Muridae. The record is from RefSeq and is a predicted model, not a curated record.
CAGCACUGCCUUCUGCAACACUUGGUUUUAGAAGAGGACAGAGACCCAGCUGCCAAACAUCUUCUCAGACAGGCUCACUCUUGCAGUGUUGUCCCGUGUGUCCUGGAGCUUUCUAUGUAGACCAGGCCAGUUCACAGAGAUCCACCUAUGUCUGCCCUCUGAGUGCUGAGAUUAAAGGUUUCCAAAUCCUCGGUUCGUGGAACCCCACGCAAGU